This 74-nucleotide transfer RNA is filed under the name Ipomoea nil (Japanese morning glory). It matches the Rfam family "tRNA". Rfam says of the family: Transfer RNA (tRNA) molecules are approximately 80 nucleotides in length. Their secondary structure includes four short double-helical elements and three loops (D, anti-codon, and T loops). The record is from Rfam by way of RNAcentral. Lineage: Eukaryota; Viridiplantae; Streptophyta; Magnoliopsida; Solanales; Convolvulaceae.
GAUCGCAUAGCGCAGUAGAUUAGCGCGUCUGACUUCGGAUCAGAAAGUUGUGGGUUUGACUCCCACUGUGGUCA